ACGUCAAGUCCUCAUUGGCCCUUAUAGGUGGGGCUACACACGUCAUACAAUGGCCGGUACAGAGGGUAGCCAACCCGCGAGGGGAGCCAAUCCCACAAAGCCGGUCGUAGUCCGGAUCGCAGUCUGCAACUCGACUGCGUGAAGUCGGAAUCGCUAGUAAUCGCGGAUCAGCAUGUCGCGGUGAAUACCGUUCCCGGUCUU
RNAcentral lists this ribosomal RNA (201 nucleotides) under uncultured Allobrachymonas sp. RNAcentral describes it as "uncultured Brachymonas sp. partial 16S ribosomal RNA". It matches the Rfam family "Bacterial small subunit ribosomal RNA", at positions 1182 to 1382 of the family's 1533-position model. The record is from RNAcentral. Lineage: Bacteria; Pseudomonadati; Pseudomonadota; Betaproteobacteria; Burkholderiales; Comamonadaceae.